Cricetulus griseus (Chinese hamster) is the source of this 800-nucleotide non-coding RNA. NCBI's taxonomy places the organism in Eukaryota, Metazoa, Chordata, Mammalia, Rodentia, Cricetidae. The record is from RefSeq and is a predicted model, not a curated record.
CUGCACCAAGAAGUGCCUGGAUGAGUAAGGCAUGCCAACGAGAUGUGUGUGGGUGUGGAAGCAUUUCCAUGUAGGAAGGGCAGCCCUGAAUGUGGGCCAGUACCUCCCGCCCCCAUGUUGUGGACUGAAAAGAAAAGGAAGAGGUCCACCCAUGAAGACACACCUAUUCUGCUCCCUAGUUGCCUGAGUACUUUCCCUCUGUCACACCCUCUUCUCCAGGACCUGAAACCCAACCAGGAAAGUCCGUUCUAGACAAGGAAGAGUUAAGACUGCAUGGACAAACUCAGAACUCCAAGCUUUCCAAGUUUUGUGGGCUCAAGUCAGACUUGUAACAUUAACUUUAAUGUAAAUUUUUUUGGAAGUGAUUCACAUAGAAUUCCUGCCAAAAAAUUUAAUAAUUAGACAGCUUUAGCUCAACCUUUGUCCGUACAUGCCUAACAACAUCUGCUCAUCUGACAUGGACCCUGGAAGCUGUAUCAAGCCUGGAAAAGGGUGGCUGGACCUGGAGAACGCCAUGUACUGCAGGUUAGCCCUGUGAGCACCUGCCAGUUUCUACCUGCACUAUCGCCUCAGCCCAGCUAACCCCUGUGCUGGCUGCAUCCCAUCCCACAACUACCACGGACUAAAAGGAGGGACACGUAGACUGCAAAGGGUCAGUCAUAAAAGGAGCAUUUCCCCUGUUUUUCUACCCCAACCUGCAGGUGUAAGGUGGACUCAUCGGUAUGGCAGCAUUUUGCUAAGGGGAAGCCCAUGUUACUCAAAACAGGAAUUAUAAUAAAGCCGUAAGGAAUAGGCCUGGA